Molecule: long non-coding RNA, 1681 nt
Organism: Oxyura jamaicensis (ruddy duck)
Lineage: Eukaryota; Metazoa; Chordata; Aves; Anseriformes; Anatidae
Exons: 4
Source: RefSeq, a predicted model, not a curated record
AUUUUACUUUUCAGCCAGAGAUUGUAGACUAACUCUUCUGAGCUUUAUUUAUUAUUAUUAUUUUUAAUGAUUUAUUUUUGUUUCUUGUUUAGAGUGCAGGCUUUUCUUUACCUGCUUUUUGGGAGAUUUUGUAUGAAUUAAAACUGUUAGGAAAGAAAAGAUUUUCUUUCAUCAAACACUUUCUGUGAUGGCAGCAGUUUGGAGCAAAUGUGUGAUAAGAAUAUCUGCAACAUAAAGAUAGCUGGGAACUCUGAAUCAGUCCCUUGGCUGACAGUGGGCAGCCCUGUGUGUUGUAAAGGAUGGUGUGAGAAAUCUUAUACUUGGCAGAUGUGGAAUAGUUUGCAGCCAUCCUAAUCGCUGCUGCCUUGGAAUUGAUUUAACCCUGAAACAUGAGGGUAUGGAUGUGUAAUUAUGUCUACAGUGGAUGCAGAGAAAAGACAUCAGAUUAAUGAGAAGAAAUCACGAGAAAUACAACUGGCACAGUGAGUGGAAUAAUUCCAGAGAAAUUUGGAAAGCAGUGAUGAAAUUUUAAGAUUUCAGAGAAAUGUUGCAGAAGUUUAUCUUUCAUGAUGCACAAGACUUGGAAAGAAGCUUCCAGAUUAACAAAAUAAAGUAAAAAGAUAUUCACAAGUUCUGGGGGAGAAAGAGGUGAAUGAUUUUAACCCCAAACAAGGUAUUGGCAACUAGGAAGGGAGGAGGUAACACCUGUUAGAGAUGACACCACCUCUAGAGAAGGUGUAUAAGCACACAUGGUGCUUAUACAUAGGAGUAAGAAGGCCUAGAAAAAAUUUUUGUGUGUGUUUUGGGGGUUAGAAAAUAUGUAUGUUUCCUCAAAGUUAAAUUUUCCAUUAACAUGGGUGUGGUCAUCUGACACAGUUCUCAGUGUGAGAUGAUAGAGAGGGUUUGUUUUAACCACACAAGUCCCCUAGGUCAGACUCUUGUCUCUGUGUGGCUGGUGCUUGAUUCACAGAGAAUUUUUUACUGAGCAGAGCAUUGGCUGUGACAUUUGCUAGGCAAGCUUGAAAAUCUAAUGCCAUACAUUAUUAAUAAUGAUAAGUGUUCUGCAAAGAGAAGAUAUCAGAACUGGAAUCAUGUUCAAGCACUAUAUGCCAACUGAUUUUGUUCCAUCACUCUCUGGCAAAUACAAUUAUACGUUAUCGAUAUUAAAGAUGCCCAUGUCAUGGAUAAUGUGAAUACAUAAUGCAAAGUUGUAAUGAAAUUUGGAAUAUCUGAUUAGUCAUGGGAAAACUGCUUUAAAAAAAGAGUAUUCCAUCUACAUUUCAAACAUGUUUUUUUAUACAUGGAAUGACCGAUUACACUUGUAUUAUAUGCCAUUUAUUUUGCAUAUUUUAAUUUCUAAUUACUGAUAAAUUAAGAUGACACUGUUCCAUUAAUGCCUACUGAAUGUUUAAUUCACGGAUACCUUAAAGUGCUCUCUGUUGCCGAGGAUUCUGAUAGGUUUUGGCUGGAACUCCAAAGGAGUGACAUAUUUCUAGCCUCUGACUCUGGUAUAUCUACCAGGAAAUUGAAGCAUCGAUGCCACUUGAUUGAAGCAUCAAUGUCACUGCACCCUCCACAAAAUUAUUCCUUUUAAAUUAUUAAGAUCUUAAGCUGAAAUUUAUCCCAGAAGGGAGCCAUCCUAAUGCUAUGAAUGCUUAAUACAACUUAAGUCUGUAAAUGA